GUGAACGCUGGCGGUAGGCCUAACACAUGCAAGUCGAACGGCAGCACAGUAAGAGCUUGCUCUUACGGGUGGCGAGUGGCGGACGGGUGAGGAAUACAUCGGAAUCUACUUUUUCGUGGGGGAUAACGUAGGGAAACUUACGCUAAUACCGCAUACGACCUACGGGUGAAAGCAGGGGAUCUUCGGACCUUGCGCGAUUGAAUGAGCCGAUGUCGGAUUAGCUAGUUGGCGGGGUAAAGGCCCACCAAGGCGACGAUCCGUAGCUGGUCUGAGAGGAUGAUCAGCCACACUGGAACUGAGACACGGUCCAGACUCCUACGGGAGGCAGCAGUGGGGAAUAUUGGACAAUGGGCGCAAGCCUGAUCCAGCUAUACCGCGUGGGUGAAGAAGGCCUUCGGGUUGUAAAGCCCUUUUGUUGAGAAAGAAAAGCAGCAGGUUAAUACCCCGCUGUUCUGACGGUACCCAAAGAAUAAGCACCGGCUAACUUCGUG
Molecule: ribosomal RNA, 491 nt
Filed under: uncultured bacterium
Lineage: Bacteria
Description: partial 16S ribosomal RNA
Rfam family: Bacterial small subunit ribosomal RNA
Source: RNAcentral